This 2202-nucleotide ribosomal RNA is filed under the name Triticum aestivum (bread wheat). RNAcentral describes it as "partial small subunit ribosomal RNA". The record is from RNAcentral. Lineage: Eukaryota; Viridiplantae; Streptophyta; Magnoliopsida; Poales; Poaceae.
AUGAGUGUGGAGUACAAUAUGGAUGAAGCUUUGAAAGCACGAAAUACUGCAGAGAGCAAGUUUCAUGCGCGCGACCUCAGGGGCGCGCGCAAGUACGCGGUCAAGGCCCAGAAUCUCUGCCCAUCACUUGAGGGCAUAUCCCAGAUGGCGUCGACUCUUGAAGUUCAUCUUGCAGCGGAGUCCAAGAUUGAUGGAGAGAGUGACUGGUACCGGAUCUUGUCCCUGCCCGCCUUUGCAGAUGAAGAGGAUGUGAAGAAGCAGUACAGGAAGCUAGCUCUCCAGCUGCACCCUGAUAAGAACAAGUCAGUCGGUGCUGAGGAGGCCUUUAAACUGAUCUCUGAGGCGUGGAGUGUGUUGUCUGAUACUAGUCGGAAGACAAUUUAUGAUCAGAAGAGGUCAGAUCAUUCUGUUGUCAACGUAACCAAUGGCAUGUAUACGUAUGACAAGAAGGCGACCAAGAGAGCUCGAAAGAAUGCUGCUGCUGCCGCCGCCGCCGCCGCUGCUGCUGCGGCUGCUGCUGAGGCUACUGCUCGUCCUGCUGGUGUUGAUACUUUCUGGACAUCUUGCAAUCGCUGCCGUAUGCAGUAUGAGUACUUAAGAAUGUAUCUUAAUCAUAACCUUCUGUGCCCAAACUGCCAUCACGCGUUCAUGGCGGUAGAGACUGGAUUUCCUUGCAACGGAAGCAGUUCAUCUUUCUCCUGGUCAACCAAGCAGCAGCCACAGAACCACAGUUCCACCAAACAUUCAUAUGGCUCAACAAGCAGGACUUCUAGCAUUCCGGGGACAGGGCAUGUGGGGUAUCAGCAAGAUAGUACUUAUGAUUCCUACAACAGUCAAAGCUUUCAGUGGAAUCAGUACUCCAAGACAGCGCCUGCAGCUGACACAAAUGCUUACAGUACCCAGGCUUCCGAGAAACCUAGAAGAAAUGAAGAGAGCUACAGCUACAACUACCCUGAAAGUGGAAACACAUGUGACCCUGAGAGAACUACUUCAAGGCGUGGCCGGUUUGCAAAGCGGAGAAGGCAUAGUAAUGAUUAUACGACUGUGGAUUAUGCUGGAGAUAACAAAGAAACAGUGGUUGCAAGCACAGAGACAAAUGCUUUCACUGAUGUGGGGCGGGUUAAUGGCACUUCAGUGGAAAAGAUGAGAUCUGCAGUGAGUGUAAGGAGAGCUAAUGUUUUGAGAGAGAUCUCCCAGAUUGAUACACGGGGUCUACUUGUUGAGAAAGCCAAAGAAGCCGUCCGGGGAAAAUUGCAAGAGCUGAGCAUGGCAGCAUGUUCACGGUUUGCAGAGAAAAGGAAGUCAGAAGGAAAGGUAUAUCCUAGUGACAACAACAUAAAGGCAAAUGGGGUCCUCUCUGGCAAGCUUGGCAAAGGACUCAAGCUAUGCAGUUCAAUAAGUGUCGACACCCACAUACCUGCAGCUGCAACUGAUGAAAAAAAUCCAGAACAGAAGCGUGUGCCUGUUUCGAUUGAUGUCCCAGAUCCUGACUUCCAUGAUUUUGAUAAGGAUCGCACAGAGAGAGCUUUUUAUAGUGACCAAGUAUGGGCUACAUAUGACAGUGAGGAUGGAAUGCCUCGUCUGUAUGCAAUGGUGCAGAAAGUUCUUUCAAUGAGACCUUUCAGAAUCCGCAUGAGUUUCCUCAAUUCCAAAUCCAAUAUUGAACUGUCGCCAAUAAACUGGGUUGCCUCUGGUUUCCAGAAAACAUGUGGCGAUUUUAGGGUUGGAAGGUACCAGAUUACGGAAACAGUCAACAUAUUUUCGCACAAAGUCAGCUGGACUAAAGGCCCCCGUGGGAUUAUCAGAAUUAUUCCUCAGAAAGGUGAUACAUGGGCUUUGUACCGAGACUGGUCUCCUGAUUGGAACGAGCUUACACCUGAUGAUGUGAUAUAUAAAUACGAGAUUGUCGAAGUUAUUGAUGAUUUCACUGAGGAGCAAGGGCUGACUGUCAUUCCAUUAUUGAAGGUUGCUGGCUUCAAAGCUGUGUUCCAUAGGCACAUGGACCCCAAGGAGGUGAGGAGGAUACCAAAGGGUGAGCUGUUUCGAUUCUCGCAUCAGGUUCCUUCUCGACUGCUGACUGGUGAAGAAGGCAACAAUGCCCCGGAAGGUUGUCAUGAGCUCGAUCCUGCUGCAACCCCAGUGGACCUUCUUAAGGUUAUUACAGAGGUGAAUGAAGACGUGGUGGCGCAGACUGCUGAAUAG